CUCGGGGCAACUGCCUGUGUCCCUUAAGAAAGGGAUCGAAAAUAAGACCCCGAAUCUCUGACUGCCCCGUAUAGAUCUAUGGGACCCCGCGGCUUGAGUCCUGUGUUCCCAGGAAGGGCUGUGAUUGGCAUUGAAAAUGAGAUGAGCCAGUCAUGAAAGACACUAAGAACAUAGUUUAUUUACAUCCAUAAUAAGCCAUACAUAAGUCCCAUAUAUGACACUAUAGGAUGGACGAGAUGGACUGGGAGUCCAAUAACAACUCUUUUGACACAGAUAUUUACAUGCCUCAAAUGUCACAGUGUGAUCAAGUAGUUGUUUCUAUGUGGCGUCUUGGAGUUUCAGCA
Molecule: non-coding RNA, 344 nt
Organism: Pelodiscus sinensis (Chinese soft-shelled turtle)
Lineage: Eukaryota; Metazoa; Chordata; Testudines; Trionychidae
Source: RefSeq, a predicted model, not a curated record